GACGAACGCUGGCGGCGUGCUUAACACAUGCAAGUCGAACGAUGAAGCCUUAGCUUGCUUUUGUGGAUUAGUGGCGAACGGGUGAGUAACACGUGAGCAACGUGCCCAGGACUCUGGAAUAACCGCGGGAAACCGUGGCUAAUAUCGGAUAGGUGCCGAGGCCCCAUUGUCUUCGGUUGGAAAGUUUUUGUGGUUCUGGAUUGGCUCACGGCCUAUCAGCUUGUUGGUGGGGUAAUGGCCCACCAAGGCGACGACGGGUAGCCGGCAUGCGGGGGGGACCGGACACACGGCGACUGAGAGAGGGACCAGACUCGUACGUGAGGCAGCGGGGGAGAAUAUUGCACAACGAGCGCGAGCGUGAUACAGCAACGCCGCGUGGGGGAUGACGUCUUUCUGGUUGAAAACCUCUGUUAGUAGGGAAGAAGCGCAAGUGACGGUACCUGCAGAAAAAGCACCGGCUAACUACGUG
RNAcentral lists this ribosomal RNA (469 nucleotides) under uncultured bacterium. RNAcentral's name for it is "partial 16S ribosomal RNA". It matches the Rfam family "Bacterial small subunit ribosomal RNA", at positions 28 to 507 of the family's 1533-position model. The record is from RNAcentral.